CAGUAGCCGCGGGAAUACGGAGGGUGCAAGCGUUAAUCGGAAUUACUGGGCGUAAAACGCACGCAGGCGGUUUGUUAAGUCAGAUGUGAAAUCCCCGAGCUUAACUUGGGAACUGCAUUUGAAACUGGCAAGCUAGAGUCUUGUAGAGGGGGGUAGAAUUCCAGGUGUAGCGGUGAAAUGCGUAGAGAUCUGGAGGAAUACCGGUGGCGAAGGCGGCCCCCUGGACAAAGACUGACGCUCAGGUGCGAAAGCGUGGGGAGCAAACAGGAUUAGAUACCCCUGUAGUCCCUGUCUCUUAUAC
Molecule: ribosomal RNA, 301 nt
Filed under: uncultured bacterium
Lineage: Bacteria
Description: partial 16S ribosomal RNA
Rfam family: Bacterial small subunit ribosomal RNA
Source: RNAcentral